Arachis ipaensis is the source of this 189-nucleotide non-coding RNA. The record is from RefSeq and is a predicted model, not a curated record. NCBI's taxonomy places the organism in Eukaryota, Viridiplantae, Streptophyta, Magnoliopsida, Fabales, Fabaceae.
GAAGUCAUGCGUAAGCUUGGCUUGAAGCGUGAGCAUCUUUUCUAUUUUUUCCUAGUGAAUUUGCAUUUAAUUUGUUAAUUUUUAUCAAGAAUUUAUUAUCUUUCAGCCACUAUGGAUCCUACUUUGAGUCUUAUGCAAUUUCGUUUACUUUAGGUAGCAUUCGGAUGAAUUUGAUGGAGUUUCUACAGA